RNAcentral lists this long non-coding RNA (332 nucleotides) under Eucalyptus grandis. RNAcentral describes it as "long non-coding RNA (EGRA_LNC004275)". The record is from RNAcentral. Lineage: Eukaryota; Viridiplantae; Streptophyta; Magnoliopsida; Myrtales; Myrtaceae.
GCGAUAUCCCAGGACAAAGUAUCGCCGACCCUUUCGUUUAUUAAGCACAUGCGGAAGCAGUUAAAAUCCCCAGACAAUAAAAUGAUGGGAUAGAAAAGAAGGGCCAUAUUUUUCAUAUUGAAAUUUAUAACCAAACUUUUAUACAAAACACAAACCAAUUUAUAACUAUUCACUUCAAAAGAAAUUCUCAAAAGAAGAUAGACUCUCAGCCCAUCCAGGCCAUACUCAAGGCCCCUCUCAAGAUUAUCUUCUUCUUCCAAAAAUCCUUCUCUUUAAGUUUCACCUCCGAGUUCUCCUUCUCAGACUCCUCCUCAUCAGCUCCUCAUCGGGGU